GAGUUUGAACCUGGCUCAGGACGAACGCUGGCGGCGUGCCUAAUACAUGCAAGUCGAGCGAGCUUGCCUAGAUGAUUUUAGUGCUUGCACUAAAUGAAACUAGAUACAAGCGAGCGGCGGACGGGUGAGUAACACGUGGGUAACCUGCCCAAGAGACUGGGAUAACACCUGGAAACAGAUGCUAAUACCGGAUAACAACACUAGACGCAUGUCUAGAGUUUGAAAGAUGGUUCUGCUAUCACUCUUGGAUGGACCUGCGGUGCAUUAGCUAGUUGGUAAGGUAACGGCUUACCAAGGCAAUGAUGCAUAGCCGAGUUGAGAGACUGAUCGGCCACAUUGGGACCGAGACACGGCCCAAACUCCUACGGGAGGCAGCAGUAGGGAAUCUUCCACAAUGGACGAAAGUCUGAUGGAGCAACGCCGCGUGAGUGAAGAAGGGUUUCGGCUCGUAAAGCUCUGUUGGUAGUGAAGAAAGAUAGAGGUAGUAACUGGCCUUUAUUUGACGGUAAUUACUUAGAAAGUCACGGCUAACUACGUGCCAGCAGCCGCGGUAAUACGUAGGUGGCAAGCGUUGUCCGGAUUUAUUGGGCGUAAAGCGAGUGCAGGCGGUUCAAUAAGACUGAUGUGAAAGCCUUCGGCUCAACCGGAGAAUUGCAUCAGAAACUGUUGAACUUGAGUGCAGAAGAGGAGAGUGGAACUCCAUGUGUAGCGGUGGAAUGCGUAGAUAUAUGGAAGA
RNAcentral lists this ribosomal RNA (736 nucleotides) under uncultured bacterium. Its description in RNAcentral is "bacterial SSU rRNA". It matches the Rfam family "Bacterial small subunit ribosomal RNA", at positions 9 to 705 of the family's 1533-position model. The record is from RNAcentral.